This 240-nucleotide long non-coding RNA is filed under the name Olea europaea subsp. europaea. Lineage: Eukaryota; Viridiplantae; Streptophyta; Magnoliopsida; Lamiales; Oleaceae. The record is from RNAcentral.
GGCUUCUGUCAUGUGCAGCAAUUUCUAUGGAUUUUUUGUGGGAGUUAUGUAUAGGGAAGAGGAGGAACAAUUUAGCAGUAAGUUGCUACAUGAAUUUGUGAUGAGGCUUAUACACUGUGGUAAAAAUAACGAAGUGUGGGUACGCCUAGGUGAUCGUGUUGCCAGAUUUAGUAUGCAAGAAUAUUGUCUCAUCACUGGAUUACCAUGCCAUGAAUCAUCUGUGGAGAUUAAUCAUAAUAA